GAUGAACGCUGGCGGCGUGCCUAAUACAUGCAAGUCGAGCGAAUGGAUUGAGAGCUUGCUCUUAUGAAGUUAGCGGCGGACGGGUGAGUAACACGUGGGUAACCUGCCCAUAAGACUGGGAUAACCCCGGGAAACCGGGGCUAAUACCGGAUAACAUUUUGAACCACAUGGUUCGAAAUUGAAAGGCUGCUUCGGCUGUCACUUAUGGAUGGACCCGCGUCGCAUUAGCCAGUUGGUGAGGUAACGGCUCACCAAGGCAACGAUGGGUAGCCGACCUGAGAGGGUGAUCGGCCACAGUGGGACUGAGACACGGCCCAGACUCCUACGGGAGGCAGCAGUAGGGAAUCUUCCGCAAUGGACGAAAGUCUGACGGAGCAACGCCGCGUGAGUGAUGAAGGCUUUCGGGUCGUAGAACUCUGUUGUUAGGGAAGAACAAGUGCUAGUUGAAUAAGCUGGCACCUUGACGGUACCUAACCAGAAAGCCACGGCUAACUACGUGCCAGCAGCCGCCGUAA
This 515-nucleotide ribosomal RNA is filed under the name uncultured bacterium. RNAcentral's name for it is "partial 16S ribosomal RNA". It matches the Rfam family "Bacterial small subunit ribosomal RNA", at positions 28 to 523 of the family's 1533-position model. The record is from RNAcentral.